CAGCAAUCUGAGGAUUGGCGGGACAAAUAUGAUGCCCAGGUUCAUCAAUGUUCUGAUUUGAGUACCAAACUUAGUGCCACUGAGGUG
Molecule: small RNA, 87 nt
Filed under: Salix viminalis (osier)
Lineage: Eukaryota; Viridiplantae; Streptophyta; Magnoliopsida; Malpighiales; Salicaceae
Source: RNAcentral